GGUCUGUUAGCUCAGCGGGAGAGCACUUCGUUGACAUCGAAGGGGUCGCUGGUUCGAUCCCAGUACAGACCA
Molecule: transfer RNA, 72 nt
Filed under: Planococcus halocryophilus Or1
Lineage: Bacteria; Bacillati; Bacillota; Bacilli; Caryophanales; Caryophanaceae
Also listed under: 2 other names
Description: tRNA-Val
Rfam family: tRNA
About the family: Transfer RNA (tRNA) molecules are approximately 80 nucleotides in length. Their secondary structure includes four short double-helical elements and three loops (D, anti-codon, and T loops).
Source: RNAcentral